Molecule: ribosomal RNA, 657 nt
Filed under: Triticum aestivum (bread wheat)
Lineage: Eukaryota; Viridiplantae; Streptophyta; Magnoliopsida; Poales; Poaceae
Description: partial small subunit ribosomal RNA
Source: RNAcentral
AUGCCCGCGGCCGUCGCGCUCCUCUGUCGAGGGCGCUCCGGCAAGCCGUGCUACAACCGGCUAGUAUAUAUGCUACAACCGCCCACGGCCGUGCUACAUAGCAACGACAGGAGCGAGACACGGCUGCCGGCGUGCCGUGCUACAAUCGAACCACGAGAAAGCUGCAAGCCUGCAACCGUGGCCUGGAAGGGCUGGAACCGGCAAGCUAUUGUGCUGCCAUCGGCUGUGCCGUGCGCUCAAAACUGGCAAGCUCCGGUGGCACGACCAUGGAGGACCGGUGUUGCUACAGGCUAUGCCAGGUGCUGGAACCAGCACGACAUCGAGCUGCAACCUGCCGACGGCGCUGCUACGAGUGGUGGGGCACACAACUAUGAGCGAAAAGGCGUGAUGCUACCAACGGCGAUCUGGGAUGCUGGAAUCGGCAGCGUGGAGAGUUGCAACCGGCGGCGCCAUAUGCUACAAGCACGCGAUGCGGGGAUGCUAGAAUCGUCUAUGUGGAGAGCUGCAACCGCCGCACCGUUUUGCUACUACCGGCAACCCAGAGUGCUGGAACAGAUGAGGAAGGAUGCUUCCACAGCGAGCCAGGAAGCUGCAACCGGAGAUGAAGUAUGUAUCCACGGCGAGGCCAGAGAGGUGCAACCAGCAGGGGGGCGGUGA